UGUGUUUGUGGCUUGCUAGCCUGCUUAGCAUUGCUUAUUCUUAUAUGUUCAUCACUUUAUCCUUUGCCAUUUUACUGCGUGCUUCUUUUUUCCACUUUUUUACUGUUUCACCUGUGUGUAUUUUAUCGUGUGCACCCGUUUCUCUCUUUUUUCUUUUCUUUUUUUCCACUAGUCUACAUCUCGCAUCUCUACUGCAUGCAUUCGUUUUCUCCUCUGUGUUUUACACGGAUUAUUGCAUCAAUCUCAAACAUCUGCUGAUCAGGAACCACAUCGAACCACAUCGAUCUCAAAUCCUUGCCGCUCAAGAACAACCAUAACAACAACAACAACAAACAGUUGUGCUCCAUUCCUGCUUGGUGUCGGACUCCACUGCUACAUGUCUCUGAGUGAUGACGACUAAAUGCAGCCGGUGCCAGCCAGACAUCACUUCAAUCUAUUACGAUGGACUUCAGAGGAUGAACUGAUGACAACUCCACCAAAAGACAUGGGAUACUUCAUCUGCCACUGCCUGAACCUUGGACUUAGUAUAGACCUCACCAAACCUCACUGAAAUGACCUGCUAGUUGAACUGUGAUGCACCUCGCUGAUCUCUGCCUGCAUCACCUUGGUCUAAUGAUGGACUACACUCUUGAAAUGGAAUACAUUUCAAUUAUGUGACAACAAAACCCUUCAUCAGCCAACUAACAAAGGACAAUGCAUCUAUGUGAACUUCUGCAGUUAACCCAGGAUGGACUUCAAAGACAUUAGCCAUUAAUCAUACAGUUCAUACAACAUCUUUGUUUAAACACUGGCCCUUAACACUUACUUAGUUUAAUUUUUUUAAACCAUGACUUGUACUGCACAUAAAUAACUAAUUUUGCCAUUAUAUUCAUGCUGGUUAGGGAAGGCCUCCACAGUGAGCCUGGUUUCUCCCAAGGUUAUUUUUCUCCAUUAACCAACAUCUUAUGGAGUUUUGUGUUCCAUCCCACAGUCACCUUCAGCUUGCUCACUGGGGUUCUACAUACAAUUAUUAUUUAAUUACUUAUUUUUAUACACAAUUUACAAUUACACAAUGAUGAAUCUAAGACUUUAUAGAUAUUACAGAUUCAUUUUCUGUUAAUGCAUGAUUUUCUGUAAAGCUGCUUUGAAACAAUGUGUGUUGUGAAAAGCGCUAUACAAAUAAAAAUGACUUGACUCC
Long non-coding RNA from Myxocyprinus asiaticus (Chinese sucker), 1177 nucleotides. RefSeq lists it as uncharacterized. NCBI's taxonomy places the organism in Eukaryota, Metazoa, Chordata, Actinopteri, Cypriniformes, Catostomidae. The record is from RefSeq and is a predicted model, not a curated record. The transcript is spliced from 2 exons.